GAGAAGUUGGUGAAUUGAUUGGUCAAAAGCCUUAAGGUCUUUUGUUAUCAAAGGGAGAAAACUCAACCCUAAACCACAAAUCCACCAUGUGAGGAGAGCUUCAACAUGCUAGUGAGGAAUCCACCCUAUAAUAAGCAUGGAAGACUUAUAGUCCAUCACUAAGGAUGUAGGUGAGUAUUAUAUCAACCUCUAGGAUAACUCAAACCUAAUAGCUAAUGUUUAUGAAAAGCUU
This 232-nucleotide long non-coding RNA is filed under the name Lathyrus oleraceus (garden pea). Its description in RNAcentral is "Pisum sativum (pea) long non-coding RNA (PSAT_LNC010813)". Lineage: Eukaryota; Viridiplantae; Streptophyta; Magnoliopsida; Fabales; Fabaceae. The record is from RNAcentral.